AAGAUUUUAAGUUAAUUUAAACUAACAUCCUUCAAAGCUGUCAAAAAAAGUCAAAAACCUUUUAAAUCUUG
RNAcentral lists this transfer RNA (71 nucleotides) under Cherax parvus. RNAcentral describes it as "tRNA-Trp". Lineage: Eukaryota; Metazoa; Arthropoda; Malacostraca; Decapoda; Parastacidae. The record is from RNAcentral.